Molecule: non-coding RNA, 247 nt
Organism: Odocoileus virginianus texanus
Lineage: Eukaryota; Metazoa; Chordata; Mammalia; Artiodactyla; Cervidae
Source: RefSeq, a predicted model, not a curated record
CCCAGACAUAGUGACUGAAAGCCACAAGUUCCUGACAGCUGUUAACUCAAAUGAGGAAUACAACCAACCUAAUGCGGAAUUCUGUUGGCUUCUGCCAAACAUCAACAUGACUAUAAGGUGCUGCAUUCAGCUCAGGGUUCCUGUCCUUGAUCUCAAUAUGCUGCAUAUGCAAACAGCCAUAAGAAUAGCUGAAUAGCCCCACUGGGACGGAGGGCGGAGAACUGAUUCAAAUUCAGCUACGGUGCUU